Equus quagga is the source of this 2309-nucleotide long non-coding RNA. RefSeq lists it as uncharacterized. Lineage: Eukaryota; Metazoa; Chordata; Mammalia; Perissodactyla; Equidae. The transcript has 4 exons. The record is from RefSeq and is a predicted model, not a curated record.
CAGGAACCCCUACAGGCUCCAGAGGCCCUGAGCGCGCCCCCUACGAGGCUUGUUCUCUGGCGUUUCUGAUUGGCCAGCUCCCUUCGCGCAGACUAGCGUCCUUUCGGCUGCUGGGUAGCUCCUCUUCCCUCGCUGGGCGAGGCUCUAAAGCCCAUGUGCAGCACAUUGAGGAUCUUCCGAUCGGUCUUCGCUGAUGCUUUUCUCAUGUCCCUCUAAGGGCGAGAUCACUGGGAAAGGAGCUGAUGCUGGUGGAAUCUUCAGGUGAUGAAGAUGGAGACUCCAGGUCUGAGUCGGCUGGAAAUAAAAAGAGACUCCCUGCAUUAGAGACCAUCCACAGGGCAUCCUUGGAAGCUGUGACCUGAAGGUGGACAAGCCACAGGAUGGAAGGAGCUGCAUCUCUAAGUCACCAGUGAAGAACAGUCACCCUCAAUGGAGAAAACCAAAGCCAUCAGGAGGAACUCCACCAACAUGGAAUCCAAUGUAUUGAUUGUUACGUCUUGCGGAAAUAUGGGAGACAGAUGCACAAAGAAGAGUGUACAUGAGGACACAGUGAGAAGGUGUCCAUCGGCAAGACAAGAGCUCUCAUCAGAAACCAAAUCUGUCAGCACUUUGAUUUGGGACUUCUAGCCUCUGGAACUGUGAAAAAAUAAAUCUCUGUUGUUUAAGCCACCCAAGCUAUGAUAUUUUGUUACGGCAGCCUAAGCAGAUACACAAUGCAACAGAAAAAUGGGCAAGAGAUGCAAAACAAACCACAAUGAGAUACCACUGCACAUCUGCCACUACAAUUAAGAAAGACUAAAAAACAAUUGGAAAGGACGUAGAACAACAGGAAUUCUCAUCUAGAUUUUACUAUUAGGUUUCUGAGGUUCAUCUCCAUCUGUUUAUUACUAUAGUCUUAAUUUUCAUUCCAUUGCAUGUAAGUUGCUACAACUACUUUCAGAAAGAGUUUAGCAUUUGAUCCAGUGAGUCUACUCCUAGGUGUACAAAAAGCAGAUAUGUGUUCGCAUAGCUACCCAAACACAUGCACAGGUAUGUUCAUGGCAUUGUUCGUAAUCGCUAAAAAAGAGAAACAAAUGUCCAUCAACAGUGGAAUAGAUACCUAAAUUGUGGUACAUUCAUAAAAAGGAAUAUUGUACAAUAAAAAUUAAUGAAUCAAUUAUACACAGAAACACAGGUGAAUCUGUCAAACCUCAUGUUUUGAGUGAAAAACACCAGGCAUAAAAGACUAUAUAUUGUUUGAUUCCCAUUUUAUAUAAGCUUCAAAACCAGGCAAACUAAAUUGUAGUGUUAGAAAUCAGGAUAGUGGUUACAUUUAGGGAAGAUGGAGGAGUUACUGAUUGGAAGCAAAUAUGAGGAGACUGGGAGAGUUGGCUGAGGUUCUGUUUCUUGACUUGUGUGAUGGUUGCAGUGGUGUUCACGUUGUGAUCAUUCGUUGAACUUUACAUUUCUGUUUUGUUAUGAUUUUUUUAUAUGUUAUGUUUCCCAAUUUUAAAAAAAGUUUAAAAUAUGUUGGUAUCUUCUACUAAGGAAAGUGUUUUCAAUGAGGAAGAGUUAAGCAUCCAGAGUAAAUUUUCAAAUCUCCAAUUUGCUUAUGGGUAGGUUUAUGGGUUGCUUAACUGCUACUCAUUUUUGUUUUUCGUUUAUCAAUAUUCAAAUACCGAAUAUAUAUUUAGUGCACAACUGAAGAUCAUGUAGCAUAAUAACAGCUUUAUAAGUAAAAGGAUGAAAUCAACCCACCAGAUUUUUUUGGAGUUGCUACCGCCAUUGACCUAAUCCUAAUUCCAAUGAAAAAAAAGUAGCCUUUCCCCCCAUUGUGGGACACGUGAUAGUGCAGACUUAUGGGUCACUUCUCACACACCUUUGGUCCUUAUUUUAGAGAAGCAGAACACUGCUGGGUUCCUUAGGGGCAAGGUCUAGACUUGCACACUUGAACCUUGCACUCUCUCUGAAGAGCCAACAAAUAAGUGAAGGAUCCUUUAAAAAACAGAAACAUACAGAAGUGUGGCAGAGAGUGGCUAUUUAAUCAAACCUAUUUUGUCUUGUUCCUAGGCAGCAGAAUGAGAAUACUUGAUCUGCCUCCUUUCUAUUUCCUUUGUAGUUAGGAGUUCCCAUGUGGAGAGGGAAGCACCAAGACCCUCCAGAGAGUUUGGAGGAGGGAGUGAUAAAUUAAUUCAGAGAGUACCCACUGAUUCUUAGGUCAUAAAACUUUUUCCAAUUUCCUUCCCACUGGUUUGCAUUGACCAUGGCUCAGCAUAGAUUUAAGGUAAAAGCAUACUGCCCUUAAGAUAUUGUUGGCCUUUAAUAGCUGA